GAAUUAUAAAAGAGGCAAACUUCUACUCAUUGUCACUGGCGUCAUCCUUAAGAUAACCCAAUGGUGUUAGUGCUUGAGUUGACUGGGCUGAUCUGACUAGCUAGGGAAGGUUCCCUACCUCCCUCAUGGCUCCAUGCACAUCCUUUCUGAAUCUUCCCAUUUGGUUGAAGAAUUCUACCUUCCCUGAUAGAGGAGGACCAUUGUUUGUCAAGAGUAUAUGAAUAGCUGUCUUCCUCUUCUAGGAUUUCCAAGAUCCUCUCUGGAUGGGAGUACUUGUUUGUAUCUUCACUGUGCUCCUCAGAAGAGAGAGAGAGAGAGAGAGACAGACAGAGAGA
RNAcentral lists this small RNA (335 nucleotides) under Mus spicilegus (steppe mouse). Its description in RNAcentral is "7SK RNA (ENSMSIG00000030030.1)". It matches the Rfam family "7SK RNA", at positions 50 to 267 of the family's 331-position model. From Rfam's summary of the family: 7SK was discovered as an abundant small nuclear RNA in the mid-70s but a possible function has only recently been suggested. Two independent studies have found that 7SK RNA binds the CDK9/cyclin T complex (known as elongation factor P-TEFb). Lineage: Eukaryota; Metazoa; Chordata; Mammalia; Rodentia; Muridae. The record is from RNAcentral.